Molecule: ribosomal RNA, 725 nt
Filed under: Lactiplantibacillus plantarum
Lineage: Bacteria; Bacillati; Bacillota; Bacilli; Lactobacillales; Lactobacillaceae
Description: bacterial SSU rRNA
Rfam family: Bacterial small subunit ribosomal RNA
Source: RNAcentral
UGGAGCAACGCCGCGUGAGUGAAGAAGGGUUUCGGCUCGUAAAACUCUGUUGUUAAAGAAGAACAUAUCUGAGAGUAACUGUUCAGGUAUUGACGGUAUUUAACCAGAAAGCCACGGCUAACUACGUGCCAGCAGCCGCGGUAAUACGUAGGUGGCAAGCGUUGUCCGGAUUUAUUGGGCGUAAAGCGAGCGCAGGCGGUUUUUUAAGUCUGAUGUGAAAGCCUUCGGCUCAACCGAAGAAGUGCAUCGGAAACUGGGAAACUUGAGUGCAAAAGAGGACAGUGGAACUCCAUGUGUAGCGGUGAAAUGCGUAGAUAUAUGGAAGAACACCAGUGGCGAAGGCGGCUGUCUGGUCUGUAACUGACGCUGAGGCUCGAAAGUAUGGGUAGCAAACAGGAUUAGAUACCCUGGUAGUCCAUACCGUAAACGAUGAAUGCUAAGUGUUGGAGGGUUUCCGCCCUUCAGUGCUGCAGCUAACGCAUUAAGCAUUCCGCCUGGGGAGUACGGCCGCAAGGCUGAAACUCAAAGGAAUUGACGGGGGCCCGCACAAGCGGUGGAGCAUGUGGUUUAAUUCGAAGCUACGCGAAGAACCUUACCAGGUCUUGACAUACUAUGCAAAUCUAAAAGAUUAGACGUUCCCUUCGGGGACAUGGAUACAGGUGGUGCAUGGUUGUCGUCAGCUCGUGUCGUGAGAUGUUGGGUUAACUCCCGCAACGAGCGCAACC